GAUGAACGCUGGCGGCGUGCUUAACACAUGCAAGUCGAACGAAGCAUUUGCGACAGAUUUUUUCGGAAUGAAGUUGCUUAUGACUGAGUGGCGGACGGGUGAGUAACGCGUGGGUAACCUGCCUUGUACUGGGGGAUAGCAGCUGGAAACGGCUGGUAAUACCGCAUAAGCGCACAAUGUUGCAUGACAUGGUGUGAAAAACUCCGGUGGUAUAAGAUGGACCCGCGUCUGAUUAGCUAGUUGGUGAGAUAACAGCCCACCAAGGCGACGAUCAGUAGCCGACCUGAGAGGGUGACCGGCCACAUUGGGACUGAGACACGGCCCAGACUCCCACGGGAGGCAGCAGUGGGGAAUAUUGCACAAUGGAGGAAACUCUGAUGCAGCGACGCCGCGUGAGUGAAGAAGUAAUUCGUUAUGUAAAGCUCUAUCAGCAGGGAAGAUAGUGACGGUACCUGACUAAGAAGCUCCGGCUAAAUACGUGCCAGCCGCCGCCGUAA
This 497-nucleotide ribosomal RNA is filed under the name uncultured bacterium. Its description in RNAcentral is "partial 16S ribosomal RNA". It matches the Rfam family "Bacterial small subunit ribosomal RNA", at positions 28 to 523 of the family's 1533-position model. The record is from RNAcentral.